CUAUCUGCAUGAGACGCAAAACUGAAAUCACAAAGUAAAACAGAACAUACAAGGCAUUUAUUUGGGUCAACGAUGAAGACCUUAAUUGCAGCUCUGGUCAUAGUUUUUGGAAUUUUCGGUGGCACUAAAGGUAAUUCUACACUUCCAAAUAUACCUUUAUAGUAAAAUUGUAAUUCUUUCUACAUUUCCACGCGUAUCGGAUAAUGCAAGCGUCAAAAUCACCCCAACGUUUAAUUUAACAAUUUCUCCAAACAAGUAAGUUUGUUCCGAUUUACGCCUGCCACAGUAGUCCAGUCAGAUCACUAUAAGUACAUGGUCUUAAUCAAAGUAAUCGCAAUAGAUUUUUUCAGUGGUAAAGUGUGAGAAAAGGUGUUCUGAUUAACAUAUUAAAAAUAAAAAAAAUCCCUUCGGUGGAACAUGGUAAAAAUCGAGUUUUUCUUACUUCUACCUAUAGAAAACUAUUGCGGACAAAAUGUUGAAAUUAUGUUUUUGCAAAUAUAACCUGCAUCAUCUGUUUAAGCUUUACAAUAAUGUAGGUUACAUUUGCCUAAAAAAGAUUUCAAAAUUUGAACAUUCUGUCCACAAUACUUUUAUAGGUAGAAUGGUGGUUUUCCAUGGUUUUUCACCAUGUUCCACCGAAGGAAUCUUUUUUUAUUUUUAGUAUGUUAAUAAGGACACCUUCCCUCACGUUUUACCUGUGAAAAGAUUCUAUUGCAAUUUAUUUGACCUCUGGUCACAGAUUGACUGGACUACAGUGCAUUUGGCCGUCGACUUUGUGUUAAAUAUAACUUUAAUCUUUAUAGUAAAUCGAAGACUUUUGAAAUAUUAAACGCCAAUUGCCUGGUAAUUUUUAACUGUAUUAUAAACAGUGCCACAAAGUAAAACAGAACACACAAGGCAUUUAUUUGGGUCAACGAUGAAGACCUUAAUUGCAGCUCUGCAUGGUCAUAAUUUUUGGAAUUCUCUGUGGCAUUAGCUUUAAUCUUUAUAGUAACUAAGUAUUUCGAGCGCUUUUGAAAUAUUAAACGCCAAUUGCAUGGUACUUUUUACAUGUAUCAUAAACAGUGGCUGUGCAUAAUUGCAUGCAAAGUAUUGAAUUGAAUAGUGACAAAACUGAUAUUGCAACCGAAAUAAAUGUUUUGAAAUUUCAUCAGAAUUUAUACAUCAGUGCUUACAAACAUCAUGGACUGGAAAAGCAUCAAGGGGCAAAAUUACACUGUUCCAUGACUGUACAAACCACGGACACAGUCCGCGUCUUCCAGUCCAUGUUUUGCAACAUGCCGAAAUCCCUUAUAAUGAGCAUGCAUGAAUGCGCCUAAUCAUGCAGUGAAUGCAGACUUGUAGCAUUAUUUUCAUCAAUUUUCACAUGUUUUCUCAUGAUCUGUUUUGAAUAUCGAUUAACGUGAUGAACUAUUUUCUGAGAUGUUGAUAUUAUUUUUUAAGCCCUUCUCUUAAUUUAGAUCUGUAACGACCUCUGUUCACGUUAGUAUACAAGUUUAGGUGGAAUUUUCCAGGCGCACCCUGAAGUCCACAAUUUCCGGCCAUGAAGCCAUACUUCCACUGACACAUUGUUUUAAGUUACAGAACACCUUUGAGUGUUAAUUUUGCCUAAAAUUUUUUUAUUGGUUUCCAUGAAAGCAUUAGACUAGUUCUACUAUCUGACAAAGUUUGAACGAAAAAUGUUAAAAACUCGCGGAGUUAUUUAAUAAAAUACAUUUCGCUGCAAUAAGAAAAACAUUGAAAAUGUAAUAUUCAAAUUCAAUUUUCUCCCGAAGAUUUUACGGGUAAUUACUGAUUUUCAAACGAGUUGUGCUCCUGCGGGUUUUGACCAAUUUUUCUCAAAUUUUCACAGGACAUAGCUAAAGACGUCAGUUUCAAAAUUGUGUUCGGCUUUUUCUUAGUUUUGAAUAUUUUAAUAAUAAAGAGCAAUUCACUCAAAUAAUUCAGAAAUAUAUUGCAGUCGUCAAAGAAAUCGCCAUAUCAGCGGAAUGACGAAAUAAACAAAAAUUUCCGGACACAAUUUUUUAGAACAACUAUUUUACUGUAUAAAAAUGAUAUUUUCAUAAAUAUAACUUAAAACCAGCAGGAGCACAACUCAAAAGCGUAACCGGUACCGCGAUUUAAGAUUUUCCUGAAUAAUUCUUAUAGCGCGCAGUAGCGAUUUUCCGCAAAACGCCAAAAAGGGUGUCCUGUAACCUUAACAGGUAUAUACACUAGGAACUUUUCCUGAGCCGCGAAACUGUCCGUAUAUUCUGUGGCACAAGAUGCAUGUGUUUAAACGCGGUUGAUUUAAAUAAAGACAAGGUGAACGAAGUUUAAUUUUUGAAAGACAUAAUAAUUAUUUGCACCUGCUGUUUAAAGGCUUGAAUCACCAACUGAAACAUUGUUGCAAUAAUAUUCUUAAUUCCUCUGUUGUCACAAAAAUCGUAUCGUAUAAAAUAUCAAGGGACCGGGCAUUAUUUAUGGCAGGUCGCACCGAAGAGAAAAUUUGGGUAAACUAAAUUUCCACUGAGUAAAAUUUGGGUAAAUAAACGAGGUUGGGUAAUAAAAAAUUAUUGUCAUUAGUUCACAGCAUGACUCACUCAAAUACUGAAGUCUAACAAGCAAUGUCAACAGUCAUAUAUCAUAUGUUAACGCAAAUACUGUAUGUAAAUCAAUCACGGGUCACUAUUUUGAUCAUUUUCCGAUUUGUCAUGGGGGAAAAUGGUAUCUCCAAAAAAGUAUAUUUGCAGACGACAUAAAACUUUAGACUGCAGAAACUUGUACAAGCAGUUAUCAAACUCAUGUCACAGAGGUGAUAAAGGAUAGGUGUAUAACAACUGAAUGGUGAGCUUUUGUAAAGUUCUCGGUCAGGGGUGGGUACGGUGUUUAUUUUUUGUUGAUAUUUGAGAUUGGGUCAAAUUUUUUAAAAGUCCAAUCAGCCAAAUUUUUACCAAGAAAAACCUUUGUUUUCGGUGCCAACCCCCACCAUGUCACAUGACACUAAUAUCGGAUAUAUCAAUGAAAUCAUUCAACUUUUUUGCGGAUCAAGUAGGACCAGGGCAUUUUUUAAGAAUUCGUCAGUGGGGGGGCCAUCUACAAAAAGGGACCAUACCAUACCGAGUGUGGAGCAAUGAUAGAUGGUUUGUUGGUAACAAAAAGUUUGGUGUGGUAUCGCAUUUAAUAGUAGGGGGGUGAGAGCAGGGCCUUAGGAAGCUCUUUUCGUUUGGGGGGGGGGGCUGAAAGCGAGGGCCGAAGGCCCGAGGAAAUUUUUAAAUUUAGAGUCUCUGAAAUGCCAUUUCCUGGACUUUGGGGAAGAUUUGACAGAUUUCUGAUUGUCAGAAUACAGCGUUUUUAGUAUGUGGAAAUUUAGAAUUCAGUAGUACUAAAUGGACGAAGGUGUAUUUAAUUAACAAUAUAUUGGAUAAGUUGCAGGAAAGUAUGGGUAAUAUCUUCAUUCUUUGCAGUUUGUCAUGGAUUAAAUAAUAAAGGUCUGCAUGAUUUUAAAAAAUGAAUGAUUAUUAGCAAAUUACUGGGGGGGCUGCAGCCCCCCACCCCGGGCGCGGUUGCUACGGUCCUGGAGAGGGUCUGGGGUUUUCUCCCCCAGAAAAUUUUUGUAUUUUUCUACCCCUAUGACUGCAAUUCCCUGCAUUUUCUGAAACAGAUUUUUGGAUAUACAGCAUUACAUUAUGCUGUAGAUAGACUGAACCUGCAGUUAAGUACUUGCAUAGUAUGUUUAUGUAGAUACCACAACUUGGCAGUCACUUAGGGAGCCAGCUUGAUAAACUUAGAGUUCCCGACUCCCACGAAGCGCCACCAUGGUUGGCACAGAGUGGAAAAAUUUUGAAAAUUUUGCGUCUCUAAAUCAUCGGAAAUGGCAUUUUCAAAGUCUUCUAUACGUCUUUUGUUUGGCCCUUUCAUUAAUUCGUUCAUUAUGAUUUGUGAGUCUAUGAUGAUAUCCGCGAGUCAGGAUGGAUUAUUACGAGAAAUGUUAUCAAAAUAUCGAUUACAGAUAUUUGAUUAUAUGUAUAUAUGAUUUCAAAUACUUCUAGUAUCGAAAUCAAAUUGUUUUUUUUUGGUGGGGGCCAAAAUUAUCCCCCCCUUAUAAAACACAUGGUUGAGGGCCUGUUGCCCCCUGCGGUCACUAACUUGUCCAACAACUCAAACUCUAUAGGGUCUGGGAAAUGCAAUCCACUGCCUGGGAAAUGUUUAAAAUCUAAUAAGGUAUUUAUUAAACAUAAAAGACAGGACAUAAGAUUCACAAAGCAAAUUUCAGUUACUAGAAUAUCAAACCUCCCUUCUAAAUUCAAUGUUUUGCUUAUAUUUUAGAGAAAAGGGACUUUGACUGGGGGGGCCAAAAUGGUUGAGUGGGGGGGCCACCAUGGGGGCUGGGGGGGCUUUGGCCCCCCCAGUUAUAUAGUUAAAAAAUGCCCUGAGUAGGACAAAGCUUGAAAAUGAUGCUUCUUCCACGUCUGUAGACUUGUGUAUAUCACGAUUUUCUAAAUGUUCUGUUGUUGCUAUUUGUUCGUGGAUACAUGGAUAUAUAUAUAUGGGGAAAAACAAAUUUAAAUUCACGAAGAACGUACACUUCACCAUUAGAAACAAGCCCAUGAAUUUUUAACGGUAAUAAUGUCCAAAUGAAAAUAUAUUUGUGCUUUUCUAGUAUCUAAUGGAGCAAUAAUAGUGAACCGGACUAUCACCAUGGCCACAAAUACCACAAUGACUCCUCCCACGGUCGAAACUGAAUCUGAAAUUAUCACUACGUCUGCGUUGACAUGCAAACACAUGAAUGGAACCUGUGAAAGUGAAUGUAAAUGUGGCAGCCAAGAGGACCAUGGGCAACUUAAUUGUCCUCCAAACCUCACCUGCUGUCAACAUCUUGAUUAAUGGAGCUCUUACUAUUUGUUCUUCUAUUAAAUCUCGUGAUUGUGACUUUUGCAUGUUCGAAUGACGACUUAGCAGCUAAUUAACCUAAAAAGUCAAGCGUUUAGACAAUGUUCUGUGUUCAUAAAUAAAAUAGGUUAAAUAGGAUAAAAAUAUGUUUAGUUGAUUUUUUUAAUCCUUAGUAGAAAGUAGUUUUUCUAUGCUGGGCAUAAUUUAUUUUAGUGACUUUUAAAUUAAAUGUUUCCUUUCUUUGGA
Molecule: non-coding RNA, 5118 nt
Organism: Paramuricea clavata
Lineage: Eukaryota; Metazoa; Cnidaria; Anthozoa; Malacalcyonacea; Plexauridae
Source: the annotation of a GenBank genome assembly